Molecule: ribosomal RNA, 488 nt
Filed under: uncultured bacterium
Lineage: Bacteria
Description: partial 16S ribosomal RNA
Rfam family: Bacterial small subunit ribosomal RNA
Source: RNAcentral
GACGAACGCUGGCGGCGUGCUUAACACAUGCAAGUCGAACGGAAAGGCCCUGCUUUUGUGGGGUGCUCGAGUGGCGAACGGGUGAGUAACACGUGAGUAACCUGCCCUUGACUUUGGGAUAACUUCAGGAAACUGGGGCUAAUACCGGGUAUGAGCUCCUGCUGCAUGGUGGGGGUUGGAAAGUGUCGGCGGUUGGGGAUGGACUCGCGGCUUAUCAGCUUGUUGGUAAGGUAGUGGCUUACCAAGGCUUUGAUGGGUAGCCGAACUGAGAGAGUGAUAGGCCACCCGGGAACGGGAACGCGGUCAAGACGCCUAAGGGAGGCAGCAGUAGGGAAUCUUACGCAAUGGGCGGAAGCAUGACGGAGCAACGCCGAGUGAAUGAUGAAGGUGUUCGGAUCGUAAAACUCUGUUAUGAGGGAAGAACAAAUGUGGAAGGAACUAUGCACGGAGUGACGGUACCUAAUCAGAAAGCCACGGCUAACUACGUG